GACGAACCGUGCGAACGUUGUUCGGAAUCACUGGGCUUAAAGGGCGCGUAGGCGGGCUGUCAAGUCUUGGGGUGAAAUGGCUGCGGCUCAACCGUAGAACUGCCUUAGAUACGUGACGGCCUCGAGGAAGGUAGGGGCAUGCGGAACUGUAGGUGGAGCGGUGAAAUGCGUUGAUAUCUACAGGAACUCCAGUGGCGAAAGCGGCGGUGCUGGACCUUUUCUGACGCUGAGGCGCGAAAGCUAGGGGAGCAAACGGG
Molecule: ribosomal RNA, 257 nt
Filed under: uncultured bacterium
Lineage: Bacteria
Description: partial 16S ribosomal RNA
Rfam family: Bacterial small subunit ribosomal RNA
Source: RNAcentral